Molecule: ribosomal RNA, 373 nt
Filed under: uncultured organism
Description: partial 16S ribosomal RNA
Rfam family: Bacterial small subunit ribosomal RNA
Source: RNAcentral
GUAGGUGGCAAGCGUUGUCCGGAAUUAUUGGGCGUAAAGCGCGCGCAGGCGGUUCUUUAAGCCUGAUGUGAAAGCCCACGGGCUCAACCGUGGAGGGUCAUUGGAAACUGGAGAACUUGAGUACAGAAGAGGAAAGCGGAAUUCCACGUGUAGCGGUGAAAUGCGUAGAGAUGUGGAGGAACACCAGUGGCGAAGGCGGCUUUCUGGUUUGUAACUGACGCUGAGGCGCGAAAGCGUGGGGAGCAAACAGGAUUAGAUACCCUGGUAGUCCACGCCGUAAACGAUGAGUGCUAAGUGUUAGGGGGUUUCCGCCCCUUAGUGCUGCAGCUAACGCAUUAAGCACUCCGCCUGGGGAGUACGGCCGCAAAGGCUG